This 272-nucleotide ribosomal RNA is filed under the name uncultured bacterium. Its description in RNAcentral is "partial 16S ribosomal RNA". It matches the Rfam family "Bacterial small subunit ribosomal RNA", at positions 524 to 794 of the family's 1533-position model. The record is from RNAcentral.
GACGAGGGAUCCCUAGCGUUGUUCGGAAUCAUUGGGCGUAAAGCGGGUGCAGGUGGCUUUGUAAGUCAGGUGUGAAAUCCCAGGGCUUAACCCUGGAAGUGCAUUUGUAUACUGCGAAGCUUGAGUGUAGGAGAGGUUACUAGAAUUCCAGGUGUAGUGGUGAAAUACGUAGAUAUCUGGAGGAAUACCGGAGGCGAAGGCGGGUAACUGGCUAACACUGACACUCAGACCCGAAAGCGUGGGGAUCAAACAGGAUUAGAAACCCCGGUAGU